AUGGCGGCGCCGGGCGCUGAGGAGCUGCGGGCGGGCGGCCCGGGGCUGGGCCCCGCUGUCCCGCCGCACCCCGGCGUGUCGCGGCGGCGCGGGCGCACGCUGCUGGUGCGGCACCUGCCCGCCGAGCUGACGGCGGCGGAGAAGGAGGAUCUGCUGCAGCACUUCGGGGCCGUGUCGGUGCGCGUCCUGUCGGACCACGGACGGCUGAAACAUACUGCUUUUGCCACCUUUCCCAGUGAAAAUGCAGCUGCAAAGGCUUUAUCAAGACUGCAUCAGCUGAAACUUUUAGGUCACACAUUAGUUGUUGAAUUUGCAAAGGAGCAAGAGAGUGCACAGGUACUUAGCCAGCCCUCUGUCUCAGACAAGUGCAAAAGUUUAGAAGAACCAGUGAAAGAAGAAGAGAAGGCACAACCAAACUGUAUUAAAAUAGAGAAUGGAAUUGCACCCAACCAUGGCCUCACCUUUCCCAUCAAUUCUUGCCUCAAAUAUUUGUAUCCACCACCUUCAAGUGCAAUUCUAGCAAAUAUAGCAAAUGCCUUGGCAAGCGUGCCCAAAUUUUAUGUCCAGGUACUUCAUCUGAUGAAUAAAAUGAAUCUUCCUCCACCUUUUGGACCAAUUACUGCUCGUCCUCCUAUGUAUGAAGAGUAUUUACCAGUGCCUGUGCCACCUCCCCCAAUCCCACCUCUGCCUCCUGAAGAGCCUCCUUUGCCUGAAGAGGAAGAAGAGCGACUGUCUAGUGGGGAUGAAUCAGAAUAUGAAAGUGAUAAUGAUGAGGAAAAGGAAAGAAUGACCAAGCUGAUGGAACUAGCAACCCUGCAGCCUAAAAGACCAAUAAACACCAAGAAACGUGGGGUUAGAAAAAAGCAAAGAAUUAAAGACAUGUUGAAUGUUCCUGUGUGUACUUCUCACAGUAACUCGCACCCUACACUGUCACCUUCUGAUGUCUUUGAGCAGCCACAGCACGUAGGUCAUAAAAAAAUAGAGUUUCAUAUUAGUACUGAGAUCCCAGCUGUCCUUCAGAUAAACUCAGAAAAAGAAGAAAAAAAUGACCUUUAUGCAACCACAGAAGAAAUCAAUAAUACAGGCUUUGGAAGGAUUUUCCCAGCUCCUAGCUCGAAUGAUAAAAUGGAAACUGAAGAGGAGGAUGAUGAAAUACCAUCAGAAUUUAUUUCUAGAAAGGAUCUAGAAAAAAACAGACUUUCUAGAGAAGAAAUGGAAAAAUAUUCUGUUUUCAGAAACUAUGAGCCAGGUGAUCCAAACUGCAGGAUAUAUGUGAAGAAUUUAGCUAAACAAGUACAAGAAAAGGAUCUUAAGUUCAUUUUUGGAAGAUAUGUUGACUUCCAGUCAGAGGUGGAACGCAAUAUGUUUGAUAUCCGUUUGAUGAAAGAAGGCCGUAUGAAAGGACAGGCUUUCAUUGGACUGCCCAAUGAGAAAGCAGCUGCUAAAGCACUAAAGGAAGCAAAUGGCUAUGUCUUAUUUGAAAAACCCAUGGUGGUUCAAUUUGCUCGUUCAGCUAGACCAAAACAGGAUCCUAAUGAAGGGAAAAGAAAAAAAUAAAACACUGUACAAGGUAUGGACUCUGCCUGAAAGCAAAAGUAAAGGAUUGGGCUGGAGGUUUUUGUUAGUGUUUGUUUGGUUUUAUUUGCUCUCUCUUUAACAGCUUCUUUAGGAAUACUGAUGAUGGAGAGGAAUUGUUCCAUACAAAUUUCUUUUCUUAAAUGUGUGGUUAUAUUAGAAAAACAGAGUGCAAGGUAUAUAGUUGAUAUAAGUUUUAUUUAAACUUUGCUUUUUUCUUUGUUAAAAAAUUCAGAGAUGGAUAUUUUCCUAAUCCUGAUAUCGUCAGGCAUUUCUUAGUUUCUCUAAUCCCUAAUCUGCAAAGAUAAGGAGAAUAUUUUUGUGGAAUUAGACCACUUUCAGUAAUCCUCCAAGGUUUUGGUAUUGAAAAGUGUUACCUCUUAACUCCUUCCUUUCCAUCCCUGCCAUUGUAAAGUGAUCCUGAAGAACUGGUUCAGCAAUAAACUUCACUAGCUGUAGAGGAUCUUUGCUAACUUUAUAAAUUAGUUCUUAGUGCUGUUGCAGCAUCCUUUACACUUGUCUGAAUUAGUGAAGGAUAUUCUGUUUGAAAGUGCUGCCUAAUGUUGAUCAAGGUGUCCUUUGCCAUGGAAUGUGUCGGUCCUGAUUUUUAGCAUUAUUUAAACAUGAUGAGAAAAUAACUUGUAGCAGAAAGUUUUUUAACUUUAUUUCAUAUAAUGUAGCUUUACUUCACUGCUACCUUUUUUCUGAGGGUUUCAUUUAUGUGAGAGUAAGUCAAGCAAAAUCAGCUCUAAGUUACCUGAGUGGUUUUGUGGCCUGCAAACAUUUGCAUAGUGAACCCUCAAAUGACCAUGUGAAAGAAAUGGUGCAAGAAUAAAAAGCAUUGAUUUCUCAAUCAGCACCCUGUGAUACAUGAGCUAGCUCAAAUUUAAAAGAAAUUAGCCUUAAUUUCUGGCUACAGUUGAGAUCGCUCUUGUUAUGCCUCUGCUUAAAGGAAAAUUAACUGAAAUCUUAGCCUGAGUGCUUAUGAAACAUUAAUUAAGCCAUGGUGUGUUUUUAAUCUGGAGCUUGAUCCUUAUUAUUCUGAAGAAAACCCAAAUUCAAAAUAAAGGAUGUGAACAGCUGUUUUUGAUUUUUUUUUUUACAAAUUGGUUGUAAAGCCCCCAGUGUGGUUAUUGUGAUGGUAGUAUUUCUAUUUUUAACAGAAACUCUAAUUGUAGGUUCUUCAUUCUAUCCAUUGUCUAAGGAUUUUUAAAAUCAGAUUUAAGGUUGUUUUCCUCUUAGCUGAUAUUUGGUCUUACUUGCUAUUUUGUGUUAUUGUUUGUAGUUUGCAAAAUACAUAUUUUGUCAAAGUUCACUUUUUUGUAGGCUUUCUUCUGUACUGAUCAUUGAAAAGAGAAGAGAGCCUUGGCUGAAGUGUUCUACUAGGAUCGAGUAUUUAUGAGAAUAUUUCAGUCUUGUUUCUCACUCUUUUCUUGUUAGAAAAGACUUCUAUUUGUAUUAUCUAGUGUCUAAUAAGAUUACCAAGGUUUCUUAUAUAUAAAAAAAAUUGAAGCAUUUUAGCUAUUGCAAAGCCUGCUAGAUGAAGUCUGAGCACUUUUAUUCUUUUAGGAAUUCCAUGUCUUUCCAACUAAUUCUGUGCAUUAAUUCUGAAUUCAUUAAAUAUACUGAAUACUUCAGUUGCAUAAAGAAAAUAACAAGGUGCUUGUUUGUUAUUAUGUUGAUGGUCAACUCAGGAGCUUUUUCUAGAGUGAGCAAACCAUACUUAAGCAAGAUUUAAUUGUGUACCUGGAAGUCUUCCAUGAGUUACCAUCUUACAAGUGUGUCCCUGGUGUUCUGUCCAUGGGCACAACUUCUCACCUGGACUGUUUAUAUGCUGUAAUCAUAACAAUGUGCCAUGGAGUUACAAGUUUCUGAGGAUCCAUCAGGUUUAAUUAAAAAUAUUUGUUGCAUUUCCCAAGUAAUGGUUAAGCUGAACCCUAUUUCUACAUUACUGUUUUUCUGUUCCUGCUGGAAUAUUCUGAUGGAUGCAUAUUUAUGAUGCACAAUUCCAUUAGAAAAACCUGAGGUCUAGGGUUUUUGCUUUUUGUUUGGUUUGUUUUUGUUUUGUUUUUUUGUUGUUGUUUGAGGGAAAGACUCCU
Molecule: non-coding RNA, 3674 nt
Organism: Sturnus vulgaris (Common starling)
Lineage: Eukaryota; Metazoa; Chordata; Aves; Passeriformes; Sturnidae
Source: RefSeq, a predicted model, not a curated record